UACGUAGGGGGCGAGCGUUGUCCGGAGUUACUGGGCGUAAAGCGCACGCAGGCGGUCUGUUAAGUUUGGAGUGACAGUUGGUGGCUCAACCACCAAAGUGCUUUGAAAACUGGCAGACUUGAGGGCUUCAGAGGGACACGGAAUUCCGGGUGGAGUGGUGAAAUGCGUAGAGAUCCGGAGGAACACCGAAGGCGAAGGCAGUGUCCUGGGGAGUACCUGACGCUCAGGUGCGAAAGCCAGGGGAGCGAACGGG
Molecule: ribosomal RNA, 253 nt
Filed under: uncultured bacterium
Lineage: Bacteria
Description: partial 16S ribosomal RNA
Rfam family: Bacterial small subunit ribosomal RNA
Source: RNAcentral